RNAcentral lists this ribosomal RNA (314 nucleotides) under uncultured bacterium. Its description in RNAcentral is "bacterial SSU rRNA". It matches the Rfam family "Bacterial small subunit ribosomal RNA", at positions 30 to 334 of the family's 1533-position model. The record is from RNAcentral.
AAAACAUUAUUGAACGCUGGCGGCAUGCCUUACACAUGCAAGUCGAACGGCAGCACGGGUGCUUGCACCUGGUGGCGAGUGGCGAACGGGUGAGUAAUACAUCGGAACAUGUCCUGUAGUGGGGGAUAGCCCGGCGAAAGCCGGAUUAAUACCGCAUACGAUCUACGGAUGAAAGCGGGGGACCUUCGGGCCUCGCGCUAUAGGGUUGGCCGAUGGCUGAUUAGCUAGUUGGUGGGGUAAAGGCCUACCAAGGCGACGAUCAGUAGCUGGUCUGAGAGGACGACCAGCCACACUGGGACUGAGACACGGCCCAG